AUUGCUUCUCGGCCAUUUGGCUAAGAUCAAGUGUAGAAGAAUCUGUAUAUUGCAGUAAUACAUCACCAAGUUUGAUAUAUGUAGGGUUUUAUCCUUUCUUUUGCAUUACUGGAGAUUGAACCCACUGUUU
RNAcentral lists this small nuclear RNA (130 nucleotides) under Fukomys damarensis (Damara mole-rat). Its description in RNAcentral is "U2 spliceosomal RNA". It matches the Rfam family "U2 spliceosomal RNA". Rfam says of the family: U2 is a small nuclear RNA (snRNA) component of the spliceosome (involved in pre-mRNA splicing). Complementary binding between U2 snRNA (in an area lying towards the 5' end but 3' to hairpin I) and the branchpoint sequence (BPS) of the intron results the bulging out of an unpaired adenosine, on the BPS, which initiates a nucleophilic attack at the intronic 5' splice site, thus starting the first of two transesterification reactions that mediate splicing. Lineage: Eukaryota; Metazoa; Chordata; Mammalia; Rodentia; Bathyergidae. The record is from Rfam by way of RNAcentral.